CUCCCCCUAUCCGAUCUCUUAAUAAUUGGGUUUCGACUUUGCUCAUGUUAGGACGAGGUUAUCCUCUUAUUCCUAACAUGGCUGUGGGGGUGCAUAAGGGUCGUUGCGAGGGCCUCUCCCCCUAUCUGGUCUCUUAAUAAUCAGGUCUUUGACUUUGCUCAUGUUAGGAUGAGGUUCUCCUCCAGUUCCUAACAUGGCUGUAG
RNAcentral lists this long non-coding RNA (203 nucleotides) under Elaeis guineensis (African oil palm). Its description in RNAcentral is "long non-coding RNA (EGUI_LNC070978)". Lineage: Eukaryota; Viridiplantae; Streptophyta; Magnoliopsida; Arecales; Arecaceae. The record is from RNAcentral.